Papaver somniferum (opium poppy) is the source of this 2648-nucleotide long non-coding RNA. RefSeq lists it as uncharacterized. The record is from RefSeq and is a predicted model, not a curated record. Lineage: Eukaryota; Viridiplantae; Streptophyta; Magnoliopsida; Ranunculales; Papaveraceae. The transcript has 5 exons.
UCCUUCGUCUUCCGCUCACAAUCACCACCACCACUGUUACCGACCUAAUCUUCUGCUCCUUAUUUCACUAACAAAUCUCAUUAUCCUUUCCUUUCUUCAAACCCAAACUUCGAAAAUUUUCAAUUCAUAUAUCCAAAUCACUUAUAAUUUCUUCAAAUCUGUAUUUCAAUAGCGACCUCUUCUACGACUCUGAUCAAAUUUGUUCUACCUUUUUGAGCUCUUUCCAAGUUUCAACUCCAAUCAACAACAAUCUUUGUUUCAAUUGCUGAUAUUUUAUCAAUUCUGGAAAACCAGAUGUAACACUUGCAUAUUAUUUCUCACCGCACAAAUUCACAAUUACAUCCUUCAAAUCACUUCUGUUUGCAUUGGUGAUACGAUUUCAUGAAUUUACAGUGGAGAUCUGGUUGGUUUUGGAGAUGGCAUUUAAUCCAAUUUCUUCAAUCUUCAGCAAAGCACUCUUAUCUUCGACAUCGACUCUUCUCGAUCCACAGGGAUUGCAGUUCCUUUGCUGAUUUCAAAAGUAUUACUGAAUUUUUGGGUGCAAUUAUCGAACGAGUUGUUGAAUCGGUUAUGGUGAGGUACGCAUUGCUUGAGUUCCGUUAUUCAUUUGUGAUUUCUGCUCAGCCUAGAGAACUUGAAUUUCUAAUGCCAAUUGAUAAAUCAAUUGAAUCUUGUUUCAUUCUCGAUUCACAAACUUCUGUUUUCUAUUCUUCACAUUCAUCUCAUGCUAGAUCUAGUGGUUCCAAGAAUAAAUGUGGUUAUAAUUUUGGUAGCAGUAAGAUGAUGGGUAUUACAACUAAUCGUCAUCUAUUUCGAUUUUUUCUUUAAGUGACUGCUUGUUCAUGUGUUGCUGGUUUCUUUUGCAAAAUCUCUUUGCUGGUAUACACAUCCCAAUUGCAGAUGCUCAGAUUUGGCUUCAGUGUUUGGUUUCUUCACAUGCCUACAGGAUGAAUCAUUUACCUUUCUUAUUAUUUCUUCUCAACCACAACUGCUAUAAUCGCCACUUCAAAUUGUAGUAUACAUCAUAACUCUUGUGUCUGUUAUCCAAUACAGAACAUCAAAAUCCUUGUGUCUGUAACCAACACCGAACAUUAAAACCCUUGUGUCUGUUAACCAACACAGAACAACUUAAACCUUUGAAGAGAAUUUCAACUUUUUCAUACCUAUUACCACUAUAUCUUUUCCACAUCUCAUCCAAUACAACACUUUUCUCAUUGUUUUCUACAACUUCAACUACUUCAUCAAAACCCUCUGAUCUCUGCUCAUCUUACUCGAGUGGCCUUGUUUCACAAAACAAAUCUUGUUUUUCAGAAGGUUUCUAUUGCAAGCUGGAUAAUACUCUUUGGUGUUAUUGAUCCACCAUGUGAUGCAGUUCUGUCAAGCUAAUGUACUGUGUGGAGUCCUUCGCUUGAGGGGGAAGUGUUUGUUGCUCUUUCUUUGUAAUGCAGAUCUAUACCUUUCGUGUAAUUGCUCCAAGCACCUCCAUCAGGGAUAACAUUAUUUAUCGUGUUUGAUAAGCUUUAGGCUUGAGGUUUCCUGUUUGUUUCAAGACUAGACCUUGAAGAUCCUUGAAAUGUCAUAAUUCCAAGUUGUUUCUCCAUGCUAAACAGCAACACUAAUCUCAGUACAGUCAGAACUGCUAUCAGACUUGGUUAUUCUGUAUUUUCCUCUUUAGUUUAUAGUACUUGUUUUUUUUUCUUUCAUAUUAUGUCUUUCUUUUGUGUGCCAAGCUGAUGUCCAGUCCUGUAAUCAAGCUUGAGGGGGAGUGUUAGAGUUAGAAAAUGUGUCUUGUCUUUAUUUCUUACACUGGAUUUACACUUAGUGUUUAUGUCGUCAAGUAUAAAUAGCACGCUGCAGUACGAGUCUUGUAUUGGAACUCUUUACCAGUAAUACACAACGUAGAAAUCUUUCACCUUGCAUCUGGUGAUAUCAUGGUAUCGUGCCUUGGAGAUAAAGAUGGAAAUGCAGAAGGAAAUGGGUUUCUUCUUCUCGAUUCAGAAUUCAAUGUUGAGGGAAGGUGAGAAAAACCAGGACACAGUACAGCCCUCUUUUUGGCUACGACUACUGCACACCAUAACACCAUCAUCAGUACAUCUUGGGGAGCUCCAUUGGCUUUCACAAAGGGCUUCAACCCUCAGAACGUAUCUGAUGGUCUUUAUGGAAGACACAUAUAUGUUUACAGCUGGCCUGGAGGUGAACUUAAACAAACACUUGAUCUUGGCAAUACAGGGCUGAUUCCCUUAGAGAUUAGGUUCCUUCAUGAACCUUCAAGAGAUACAGGGUAUGUUGGGUGUGCGCUCUCUAGCAACAUGGUGAGAUUUUUUGAGAAUCCUGACGAUUCAUGGAGCCAUUAGGUUUCCAUCUCAGUGAAACCAUUGAAAGUCAAAAACUGGAUUCUUCCUGAAAUGCCAGGACUUAUCACUGAUUUUCUCAUCUCUCUUGAUGAUGGUUACAUGUACUUUGUUAAUUGGCUUCAUGGAGAUGAAAAUGGGAACGACUGGCAGUGUGAUGUUCCUGAGGUCCAGCCAGGACGCAUGCAUACUCGGAUUCAUCGUUUCCUUUACAAUGUUUUGCUAGGCAUACUGUUGGCAAGUGAAAUAUUGUAUCCUGGAUACUUGUUAUGAAUACAAUUGAUCUAAAUCUUUGCU